AGAGUUUGAUCAUGGCUCAGAUUGAACGCUGGAGGCGUGCUUAACACAUGCAAGUCGUGCGAGAAAGGGACUUCGGUCCUGAGUAGAGCGGCGCACGGGUGAGUAACGCGUGGGUGAUCUCCCUUGGUGACCGGGAUAACAGCGGGAAACUGCUGCUAAUACCGGAUAAUCUUCAUGUUUAACUUCAUGGGGUAAAGGUGGCCUCUGCUUGCAAGCUACCACACCGAGAUGAGCCCGCGUCUCAUUAGCUAGUUGGUAGGGUAAUGGCCUACCAAGGCUACGAUGAGUAGCUGGUCUGAGAGGAUGACCAGCCACACUGGGACUGGAACACGGCCCAGACUCCUACGGGAGGCAGCAGUGGGGAAUAUUGCGCAAUGGGCGAAAGCCUGACGCAGCGACGCCUCGUGAGGGAUGAAGGUCUUCGGAUCGUAAACCUCUGUCAAGAGGGAAGAAACCCUUGGAUUCGAAUAGGGUCCUUGGCUGACGGUACCUCAAAAGGAAGCACCGGCUAACUCCGUGCCAGCAGCCGCGAUAAUACGGAGGGUGCAAGCGUUAAUCGGAAUCACUGGGCGUAAAGCGCUCGUAGGCGGUUUGGUCAGUCAGAUGUGAAAGCCCUCGGCUCAACCGGGGAACUGCAUUUGAUACUGCCAGACUUGAGUAUCGGAGAGGGUGGCGGAAUUCCAGGGGUGUAGGAGGUGAAAUCCGUAGAUUAUCCCGGAGGAACACAAGUUGGCGAAGGCGGCCACCUGGACGAUACUGACGCUGAGAGCGAAAGCGUGGGGAGCAAACAGGAUAGAUACCCUGGUAGUC
RNAcentral lists this ribosomal RNA (810 nucleotides) under uncultured bacterium. RNAcentral's name for it is "bacterial SSU rRNA". It matches the Rfam family "Bacterial small subunit ribosomal RNA", at positions 8 to 795 of the family's 1533-position model. The record is from RNAcentral.